Helicoverpa zea (corn earworm) is the source of this 1036-nucleotide long non-coding RNA. RefSeq lists it as uncharacterized. The transcript has 3 exons. NCBI's taxonomy places the organism in Eukaryota, Metazoa, Arthropoda, Insecta, Lepidoptera, Noctuidae. The record is from RefSeq and is a predicted model, not a curated record.
AUACUUACUUCCAAAGUACACGACUGAGUAAUCGAAAGAUAAAGAAAGUCGCGCAUAUUUAAAAUAUGUAGUAGUAAAGUCUAUUUUUCAAAUGUGUACCAUACUUUAAAACACUUUGAAUGCUUGGAUAACAUUAACGUAACCAUAUUAAUGGCGGUUUGGUUAAACCCAUCUAUCGAAAGUCGAUAAACAAAACAUGACGUUUUGAACGUCUCGAAUUUUCGAGCAAUUAAAUUGUGGACAUAUGUAAAUUUAAAGUGACUUUGAUAGAACCUAUAUUAUUGGCUUUUUAGUUGCAAAUAUCUAAGAACCUGAGUGUCACCAUCUAUAUGACAUUGACUGUACAUGUGUAGCUAAAAUCCCUAAAAUCUGAAAUAGUACUUUCAGCGGGCCUAGCAUGACCGCCAUAGAAACAGCUUUUGUCUACCGGAGAAUCGACAAAAUGACAGAUUGAAGAAAGAUUUCUAUCGAUCCGAGCAUGGCAAUGUUUGACAUCGAGAAGAGAAAUGUUUCUUUUCUUCAUCGACAUGUGUCUAUCGCGUCGAGCAUGACGACUAUAUUUUAUCUACUUUUGACAUUUGGGAGUAGAUAUAACUUUCUAUAUGAAAUGUCAAAUACUCUACAUCUCAUCGGACCUAGACAAGAGUAGACAAGAAUAUUAUUAUAAUUUUAAGUUCUCAAAUAGCAUUUACAAAGUAUUUCGGGGUCCUACCGUCGUCAUGUGGUCAGUAUUUAUGCUGAGAAGAAUCAGUGUAAAGCUCAAAGAACGAGCUAUACGAGUGAUAAGCCUCUCGACAUCGAAAACGUAAAUGUGCAGAGAUGGUGCAGUAUUUGUGCCAGGAAUCUGUCUCCUAUAUCUCAGGGUCUGCCUGUUCUUGUCAAUGUUCUUUGCUCGGGUCCUGCUUAGGUCAUUAACAACAUUACUAACCACUGUUAGCAAAUUUUUUAAACAAUUUGUUUUUGCAGUGAAUACAAGGGUGCCUAUGCUACAAGCUACAACUCUUCCCGAGGAAAGGCAGAGAGAGAGAGACACACU